Molecule: transfer RNA, 73 nt
Filed under: Pteropus alecto (black flying fox)
Lineage: Eukaryota; Metazoa; Chordata; Mammalia; Chiroptera; Pteropodidae
Rfam family: tRNA
About the family: Transfer RNA (tRNA) molecules are approximately 80 nucleotides in length. Their secondary structure includes four short double-helical elements and three loops (D, anti-codon, and T loops). Further hydrogen bonds mediate the characteristic L-shaped molecular structure. tRNAs have two regions of fundamental functional importance: the anti-codon, which is responsible for specific mRNA codon recognition, and the 3' end, to which the tRNAs corresponding amino acid is attached (by aminoacyl-tRNA synthetases). tRNAs cope with the degeneracy of the genetic code in two manners: having more than one tRNA (with a specific anti-codon) for a particular amino acid; and 'wobble' base-pairing, i.e. permitting non-standard base-pairing at the 3rd anti-codon position.
Source: Rfam by way of RNAcentral
GGUUCCAUAGCGUAGAAGUUAGCACAUCUGCUUUACAUGCAGAAGGUCCUGAGUUCACACCUUAGUGGAGCCA